GGAGGACGUCACAGGGAUGCUGUGCGAGGCGCAGCUCCACUGCUUAGCUGCAGAAGGCCAGGAGUGGACGCUGGGCCCUGCGGUGCCCAGGGCUUCUCCGUGGAGAAAGAAAAGCGCACCAGGGCAAGAAACUGGAUCAGCACGACGCACACAGACAUCGCGCUGUGUGACCACAGCCCCACGGCGCCACAUCCCCAAGCCAGGUUCCUCGCUCUGAAGACCACUCAGCGGCCCAGCCAAAACCCCUUUCUGCCCCACCGUGAGCCGGUCUUGGAAGUAACUGGGAUUAUCAGAUUCAUUUGAAUAUCUUUCUCACGCAGUGUUUUAACAUUUG
Molecule: long non-coding RNA, 334 nt
Filed under: Fukomys damarensis (Damara mole-rat)
Lineage: Eukaryota; Metazoa; Chordata; Mammalia; Rodentia; Bathyergidae
Description: lncRNA (ENSFDAG00000031416.1)
Source: RNAcentral